UUUAUACUCCCUCUGUUUGGAAUUACUUGUCGCAGAAAUGAAUGUAUCUAGACGUAUUUUAGUUCUAGAUACAUCCAUUUUCGAGACAAGUAAUUCCGAACGGAGGGAGUAGGUG
This is a non-coding RNA of Triticum aestivum (bread wheat), 115 nucleotides long. The record is from Rfam. NCBI's taxonomy places the organism in Eukaryota, Viridiplantae, Streptophyta, Magnoliopsida, Poales, Poaceae.